Molecule: long non-coding RNA, 855 nt
Organism: Cebus imitator (Panamanian white-faced capuchin)
Lineage: Eukaryota; Metazoa; Chordata; Mammalia; Primates; Cebidae
Exons: 4
Source: RefSeq, a predicted model, not a curated record
GGCGCGCGCUUCAGGCGUGGUGGGCGGAGCCCGGGGAGGAGCGGGGUGGGGAACGGCCCGGGACUCGCACGUGGAGGUAGAGGGCGGACGCCUACCUCAGCCAGGGCAAGACUGAGGAGCAGUUCCUGGGAGCAGCACAUUGUGGCUGCAGCAAGAUAUUGUGAAAUAUCAGAUCAUAAAGGACAGAGGAAUCCUGAAGAGGAUAAAAUCAUAGAGAGACGGGGCCAGUUAACAUUACCAAAGGAGCUGGGCUUGGAGGUAUUAAUCUUAAGAGCCCUCCCUAAUGAACACCCUGCAUGCUAGUCUCUGUCUCAUUCUGCCUCCCUGGGAGCUCACCUUGCCAAUGGGAGUGAAAUGGUCUUUAAGUAAGAGAAUGAGAGGUGAGAUUGGUUUGGGUGGUGAUAACUCAGAUCAGUGUGAGGAUGCGCUAAGCUGGGGAAAGACUGGAGGAGAGAUCAGUUAGGAAACGAGCAAGAUUCCAGGUAAAAGAUGAUGAAGUCUUGGGUAAGGGUAGAGGCAAAAGCAACUCUAUGCAUUGUCGCCAGCUUUCCUGUGACCAGCCUCAUGGAGCCUAGUCCAUAACAUGUUAGCUAAAAGAAGUUCUUCCUCAUAGGCAACACAAGUGAAAAUAGACAAAUCAGAUUACAUCAAACUAAAAAGCUUCUGCACAGCAAAAGAAAGAAUCAACAGGGUGAAGAGACAACCUAUGGAGUGGGUGAAAAUUGCAAACCCAUCUAAUAAAGGAUUAAUAUCCAAAGUAUAUUAGGAGCCCAAACAACUCACUAGCAAGAAAACAACCUGAUUUAAAAAAUGAGCAAAGGACCUGAAUAGACAUUUCUCAGAAGAAGACAUACA